RNAcentral lists this transfer RNA (87 nucleotides) under Deltaproteobacteria bacterium. RNAcentral's name for it is "tRNA-Leu". It matches the Rfam family "tRNA". From Rfam's summary of the family: Transfer RNA (tRNA) molecules are approximately 80 nucleotides in length. Their secondary structure includes four short double-helical elements and three loops (D, anti-codon, and T loops). The record is from RNAcentral. RNAcentral also lists the same sequence under 5 other names. Lineage: Bacteria; Pseudomonadati; Myxococcota; Myxococcia.
GCCGAAGUGGCGGAACUGGUAGACGCGCAUGGUUCAGGGUCAUGUGGGUAUUAGCCCGUGGGAGUUCGAGUCUCCCCUUCGGCACCA